Molecule: ribosomal RNA, 253 nt
Filed under: uncultured bacterium
Lineage: Bacteria
Description: partial 16S ribosomal RNA
Rfam family: Bacterial small subunit ribosomal RNA
Source: RNAcentral
UACAGAGGGUGCGAGCGUUAAUCGGAAUUACUGGGCGUAAAGCGCACGUAGGCGGAUAGUUAAGUUGGGGGUGAAAUCCCGGGGCUCAACCCCGGAACUGCCUUCGAUACUGGCUGUCUGGAGGUCGAGAGAGGUGAGUGGAAUUCCGAGUGUAGAGGUGAAAUUCGUAGAUAUUCGGAGGAACACCAGUGGCGAAGGCGGCUCACUGGCUCGAUACUGACGCUGAGGUGCGAAAGCGUGGGGAGCAAACAGG